Molecule: ribosomal RNA, 375 nt
Filed under: uncultured organism
Description: partial 16S ribosomal RNA
Rfam family: Bacterial small subunit ribosomal RNA
Source: RNAcentral
GUAGGUGGCAAGCGUUGUCCGGAAUUAUUGGGCGUAAAGCGCGCGCAGGCGGUUCUUUAAGUCUGAUGUGAAAGCCCACGGCUCAACCGUGGAGGGUCAUUGGAAACUGGAGAACUUGAGUACAGAAGAGGAAAGCGGAAUUCCACGUGUAGCGGUGAAAUGCGUAGAGAUGUGGAGGAACACCAGUGGCGAAGGCGGCUUUCUGGUCUGUAACUGACGCUGAGGCGCGAAAGCGUGGGGAGCAAACAGGAUUAGAUACCCUGGUAGUCCACGCCGUAAACGAUGAGUGCUAAGUGUUAGGGGGGUUUUCCGCCCCCCUUAGUGCUGCAGCUAACGCAUUAAGCACUCCGCCUGGGGAGUACGGCCGCAAGGCUG